AAAGUACUAAGCUCGGGGAUAAUAAUGACGGUACCCGAGUAAAAAGCCCUGACUAACUUCGUGCCAGCAGUCGCGGUAAAACGGAGAGGGCAAGUGUUAUUCGUAUUGACUGGGUGUAAAGGGUACGUAGGCGGUUAUUUAAGUUAUAAAAAAAGCUAUAUCUUUUUAUAAUACUAUAUGACUAGAGUUAAAAAGGGGAUGGCGGUACCUCCAGUUUAGAAGUGACAUUCGUUUGAGAUUGGGGGGACCAACAAUAGGCGACGGCUGCUUUCCAUUUUUAUACUGACGCUGAGGUACGAAAGCAUGGGGAGCGAACAGGAUUAGAGACCCUGGUAGUCCAUGCCCUGACCUAUGAAUAUUAAUCGUCCAUUUAGAUAGUGGAUGACUAAGCUAACGCGAAAAUAUUCCACCUGAGGACUACGGCCGCAAGGUUAAAACUCAAAGAAAUUGGCGGAAGAUCGUUUAAGCGGUGGAGUAUGUGGUUUAAUUCGAUAAUACGCGAAAAACCUUACCAAUCUUUGUGCACAUUUUCGGUUCUACAAAACUUGUAGCCCAAAUUGAGGUGGUCAAUUUGGGCUAGCUAUGUGCCAGGCGUUGCAUGGCUGUCGUAAGCUCGUGUCUUAGGAUGUGUGGUUAACUCCAUGAACGGGCGCAACCCUUGUUCCUAGUUAGAUUAGGAAUGAAAACAGUGAAAACUGCUUUUGAGGAUGAGGAGUAUGUCAAGUCAAUAUGACCUUUAUAGAUUGGGCUACACACGUACUACAACGGUAGUUACAAUGAGAAACAAUGCCGUGAGGCGGAGUAAAUCUCUAAAACCUACCCUAGUUCGGAUUAUUUUUUGAAAUAAAAAUAUGAAGCCGGAAUCGCUAGUAAUCGCAAAAAAGAAUGUUGCGGUGAAUAUUAAGACCGAUCUUAGUACACACCGCCCGUCGCGCCAUGGAAGCUUGUUUGGUUUGAAGAAUUAUAGUCACAUGUUUCGAAGUGAGUUAUUCCUUAAUAAGUUCAUGUU
This 1009-nucleotide ribosomal RNA is filed under the name Balamuthia mandrillaris. RNAcentral's name for it is "SSU rRNA". It matches the Rfam family "Bacterial small subunit ribosomal RNA", at positions 427 to 1473 of the family's 1533-position model. Lineage: Eukaryota; Discosea; Longamoebia; Balamuthiidae. The record is from RNAcentral.